AUCCAUCUGACGAGUCCCAAAUAGGACGAAACGCGCGUCCCGGAU
Molecule: non-coding RNA, 45 nt
Organism: Schistosoma curassoni
Lineage: Eukaryota; Metazoa; Platyhelminthes; Trematoda; Strigeidida; Schistosomatidae
Source: Rfam